UUUGUGGCCAAAGGCUGUUUCCUAGAGGAAGGGGCUGGUGUAACCUUCGGCAGACAGCGCUCUCAGCAGCAGGCUUAUGGGAUCGAUGAAGGAAGCUAAUAGCAUUCACACCAGAGUGUCUCUAUCUUCUUUUUCCUGUAAACUCGGCAUAAAUCUAGAGGCCUGAUCCAAAUCAGGCUUUAAAUUUGGCGAGACCACUGUUAUGGUUUGAGUGUUUGUCCCAUCCAGAACUCAUGAUGGAAAUUCCCAAUGUGUCAGUAUUGGAAGGUGGAGCUUUUAACAGGCAAUUGGGUCAUAAAGACCCUGCCCUUGUGAAUGGAUUAAUCCAUUCACAGAUUAAUGGAUUAAUGGGUUAUCAUGGGAGUGGGACUGGCGGCUUUUUAAGAGAAAGCAAGACCUGAGCCCGCAAGCUCAGCCUCCUCACCUGGAGUGCCCAGCGCAACCCCAGGUCUCUGCAGAUGGCCCCCUCACCAGCUGUGCCUCUCAGGACUUCCGAGGCUCCAGAACUGAAAACAUUUAAUCCAGAAGAACUCCAAGAUUAAGAUUUCAGAUUUAAAAAUUUCAUGAUGAAACCUACCAACUUUUAUUGAGGACAGCAAAAGGGAAAACCACUCCAAGAGAUAAAUUACCCAUGACACCUGCCAUAAACGUUCUGUUACUUUUUGGGAGACCAGAAGCCUACAGAUACUGAUUCUACAUCAUGAGAACACGUGAAGCAAUAUGUUUUCCUAAAGCUAGAGAAGAGAGACUGGGUAGGGUGAGUAGAGAAGGAUGAGGAUGAAGAGAAAUAGGUCAAAGAGCACAUACAAUUAGAUGGAAUAUAUUUGUGUUCGAUAGAGUAGGAAGAUAGUUAAAAAUGUAUACCCUGACUUGACCACUAUACAUAUGUAACCCCAUGAAUUUGUACAAAAACGGUUUUUCUAGACAGACUAAACUUUUAGUUUACUUUCAACCAAUUCACUUCAAAUAAAGUCAGGGCUGGUGGUGCCUGCA
Long non-coding RNA from Sapajus apella (tufted capuchin), 993 nucleotides. RefSeq lists it as uncharacterized. The record is from RefSeq and is a predicted model, not a curated record. Lineage: Eukaryota; Metazoa; Chordata; Mammalia; Primates; Cebidae. The transcript has 2 exons.